UCCCACCCGGGUCCCCCACCUCCCGCCGAGCCCCCCAGUUGCGCCGCCCCCGGGCCCCCAGGGCCCCCUGAGUCCGGAACCACAAUUUCCCAAGGGCGCAAAGGCAGCCGAAGGACGCGCUGCCCUUGCCGGCCUGGUGGCCACACAGAGGGGCCCUUUAGCCUCGCCCAGUGGCCGGGGGCCCUCGGGGGCCCUGGGGGUUACCCCACCCUGUGGGCCUGUGCCCGGGACACCUGGGCGGGGCCUGGGGGCCACAGGUCACCCCCUGGGUGCCAGGAGCCCGCCCGCUUCCUUGAGAAAGCGUGUCAUGGAGAACUGGCCGCCGCUGGUGCCCAGCUUGCCACAGAUAUCAGGCGAUGUGGUCACGUCACCUCUGUGGCCCGGCCAACCUGGCACUGGCCUGGGCAAGGGCAACUCGGCCUGGGAGAAGGGGGCCCCGCCCAGUGGGGGAGCAGCGGUGACCGCCCAGAGGGCCAUGCCCGUUUUAAAACACAGCUUGUUAUCGGGACCAGUCGGACAGCACGCGGUCAGAGGGCGGCUGGCUGCGGUUUACCAAGCGCCCCCGUGGGCCGGUGCUCCGGGACGUGGAGAAUGUUUUGUGUGCCCCCCCUUCAUAGCCAACCUGUUAUGUAAACAUUUCACUGCCCUUUCUCCCUGGGCUAGGACUUUACAGGUGAGCGUCGAAGUCUCACUUCAGAGUGGACGUUGUGCUGGGACUUCCGAUUCACGCUGGAAGGACAACGGCUAGCACAUAGUAGGUGCUCAAUAGUUGCUCCUUUGAAGGGAAUGAGCCCGUUUUACAGAAGGAAAACUGAGGGUCCCAAGGGUCCAAGUCGCCCAGCCAGUGAGUAGCAGAGAGGGAGCUGCCUCCCUCCACUGCCCCCCCCCCCUCUGAUCACCCCCGGGCAUCCCCAGGAGGCCGUUACCCAACUUCACCUCCUCCCCGAGUUCUGUUUUCCAGGGGAAGUGUCGAAAGAGAACCUCCGCUUUUCUGCCAGCGGGAAUGGAGCUAGGAGGCCUGAGGGGCUGCGGAGGCCGUGUGACUCCUAAGGAGGGGCGUCGGGCUCCGGGGAUCUAGCGUGAAAACAAAUAUUCAUUAUUUUAAUAAAAUGUUUUUUGGAAAACUAACAAGGCCCAAUUUGUUUCCGGAGAAUCU
RNAcentral lists this long non-coding RNA (1156 nucleotides) under Dasypus novemcinctus (nine-banded armadillo). RNAcentral's name for it is "lncRNA (ENSDNOG00000052184.1)". The record is from RNAcentral. Lineage: Eukaryota; Metazoa; Chordata; Mammalia; Cingulata; Dasypodidae.